GAACGCGGUCCAUCCAGUGGCAACACUGGUGAAGACCGAGUGGCGAACGGGUGAGUAACACGUGAGCAACCUGUCCCGAAGACCGGGAUAAGCCUGGGAAACCGGGUCUAAUACCGGAUGCCCCCACCGGGCCGCAUGACCUGGUGAGGAAAGGGAUUUCCGCUUCGGGAGGGGCUCGCGGCCUAUCAGCUUGUUGGUGGGGUAACGGCCUACCAAGGCGUCGACGGGUAGCUGGUCUGAGAGGACGAUCAGCCACACUGGGAUUGAGAACGGCCCAGACUCCUACGGGGGGCAGCAGUGAGGAAUUUUCGUCAAUGGGGGCAAACCCUGAACUGAGCAACGCCGACGUGCAGGAAGAAGGUUUUCGGAUCGUAAACUGCCUUUACCUGGGGAAGAGAACGGACGGUACCCAGGGAAUAAGCCCCGGCUAACUACGUGCCAGCAGCCGCGGUAAG
This 455-nucleotide ribosomal RNA is filed under the name uncultured bacterium. RNAcentral's name for it is "bacterial SSU rRNA". It matches the Rfam family "Bacterial small subunit ribosomal RNA", at positions 64 to 524 of the family's 1533-position model. The record is from RNAcentral.